Armigeres subalbatus is the source of this 475-nucleotide long non-coding RNA. RefSeq lists it as uncharacterized. The record is from RefSeq and is a predicted model, not a curated record. NCBI's taxonomy places the organism in Eukaryota, Metazoa, Arthropoda, Insecta, Diptera, Culicidae. The transcript has 3 exons.
AUUUUUGUUGACAUACUUUUACCUGCACUCUUGUGAACAAUUUUAUAUUUAGUUUUUGAUUCACAUAGAAAGUAAAAAUGAAUUCCAGCCCGCUUAUCGUUGAAUUAUAUACAUAAUUACAGUGAUUAUGAGCCAUUGCAGCUCCCCAGAUAUGAUGUGGAGCUAUGAGAAUCUCACCAUUGGCGAUGUCGACUGUGUCAAUGAUGGCCUUGUAAAUUAAGUUCAGACACAUCUUCAUUGAGUUCCUUUCUGUUUGGCGGAACAAUAUUUAUAUAGAUUUAUAUAGAUUACGCCAUUUGGAAUCACAGCAAAGACACUAUUUACCCCGAGGGACAGUUUUUUGGUGAACUCGCCCAAGCUGUUGGCAGCAUGUGCCUUCGGAUCAGCAGAAUUGAUUGGUCAGGCCUCGGGUCAGGCGAUCUACACCAGCCACAAGGCAAUUCCGUGAGAAAUGAAUAAAACGAAAAAAAAAUAU